UAAUGUUGUAGAGGUGAGAUGUGUUGUGUGCUACAACUGUGUGCCUCUGACCCAACAAUCCAGUGGCAUCAUGCCCAUAUCACCAACCUGCCAAAUCCUUUACGUUCCAGCAAGUCUCACUUGGAGGUGCCCCACCUCCCACUCCUCUCCUGCCAUGGUGCCUGUGAAACACACUCUCCACAAGGUCUUUGGACUUUUCCUGCCCUGGAAUCCCCUGUGGUAUUCACUUCUCCUGCGGCAUUCACCAGACAUCUGUGCCUGCAGCCUGCUGCCCACAGAAGGAGAGAAGCUGGCUGCUGUGCAGGUGCCAGAAGUCUUUGUUUCCUUUGUACAAAGUAGUUCAGCUAGAAAAGCUAGUUUUCUCCAGCUGUACCCUCUCACAGGUGAAAUAAGGUCAUUGUCCCUCUUUCCGUGCAACUUCCAAGGCUGUAAAUCAACCUAUUACAGUGGUGAGAAACAGAGAUUGCUUGUUUGGACAGAAGGGAAAUGAAGAGGGGAGUCUGCAGUCUGGAGACAGGCUGUUCUCCAGGACUGGUCCUGCAGAGAUGAUGCUGAGCUCAUACUGUGACUUCAACACAAGCUUGUCUCCUAGAAGCUUCCCCAAGCCCAAGAGAGGAAAGUGCCGUGGCCGUCCUGCUUACCAAAGAAGAGCUCUCUAGGAGUCUUCCAGGACCUGAGCAAGGUUCCCUACGUGUCUGUCCUUGCUUGGAGCAGCAACUUGAUACUCCAACAGGGCAGGACCUGUUCAGAGGGGAAGUAGUGGAUUUCCUGAGAAAUACCUUGUGCUGCACAAAAAGCCUGCUCCACCAAGAGAUGAGAGAGUAUAGAACUGUCACUGGAAUGCUCACCUCUAUGUCUUCCAUAACACUAUUAUAUUAUCCUGCAUGUGCA
Taeniopygia guttata (zebra finch) is the source of this 891-nucleotide non-coding RNA. NCBI's taxonomy places the organism in Eukaryota, Metazoa, Chordata, Aves, Passeriformes, Estrildidae. The record is from RefSeq and is a predicted model, not a curated record.